UAGCAGGCUUCAAGGCCUGGGCCCAUUCUGAACCAAAGGAAUUUCUCUUUGACGCCUGUAAUGUGUCCUUACAGAUAACUGUCACAGUGAGCCCUUGUGUCAGAGAACUCUGGCAGUGAGGAGCUUUCGAGACAACAGCAGACUGCACGGAACUGUGGUGACAACACUCAGAAAACACUGCACUGGAACUGCAUGCAGAACAGUGGGAUAAAAGCACAGAAAGUAAAAACAAUUUUAAAAGAGAAUAGACAUCAUAGUGAAGAAAUGAGACUAGCAUGGGUAACUUGGUGAGCAAACCACACAUAAAACUCGCCAACUGUUUAGACCAAAGGCAGAUUGAUUAAGCAAAUGGAAAUUCAAGAACCUACAGACACUAAUGCUUAUUUCUGGCUGCACACUGAUCAUGGCAGCAUCUGAAGCAGAGUGUUACCUGCAGAUGUCCUGGCUGGAUGGCGUGAUAGAAGUGCGAGAGAAGGAGGACACCGGAGCCGGAGCUGAUGCUGACGGAGGACUCCCAGCCUGCAAUGACAGACCUGUGGUCAGUGUUCAGCUCAAGAACAUCUCAUAGCCUCAGCAAAGUUAACAGAGACGGCAUCCACAAAAAAUCAGACAGAGGGAGCAAAUGGCAACACUGGAACAGCCCUGCCAAAUGAAAUUACAUGUCUGGCUUACACACACACGUGGGAAAUAAUACCACAAAACAGAACAAAGACCCUUUGUUCUGUCUUCUAUGCAUUUUUCCACCCUAUGAGAAGCUAAAAGAUCUUCCCAGAAUGAAUGCUCCAGCAGAAAGAAUUGGAGUGGCUUCUGAAAACAACACUUCCUCUAGAAAAUAGCAAUAGAGCCUGAAGGUACUUCUCUCAGAGACUAGGCUUCCUGGCAGCUAAUACAAGAGGUGAUGAGUGCACAUCGUAUCUCAGGUGUCUCAUAAAGAAUUCUGGUUGCUCUUGGUUGUCUGAGAUAAAAG
RNAcentral lists this long non-coding RNA (967 nucleotides) under Homo sapiens (human). RNAcentral describes it as "HSALNT0162152". The record is from RNAcentral. Lineage: Eukaryota; Metazoa; Chordata; Mammalia; Primates; Hominidae.